This 440-nucleotide ribosomal RNA is filed under the name uncultured bacterium. RNAcentral describes it as "partial 16S ribosomal RNA". It matches the Rfam family "Bacterial small subunit ribosomal RNA", at positions 338 to 795 of the family's 1533-position model. The record is from RNAcentral.
CCUACAGGAGGCUGCAGUGGGGAAUAUUGCACAAUGGGGGAAACCCUGAUGCAGCGACGCCGCGUGAGUGAAGAAGUAUUUCGGUACUUAAAGCUCUAUCAGCAGGGAAGAAAAUGACGGUACCUGUCUAAGAAGCCCCGUCCAACUACGUGCCAGCAGCCGCGGUAACACGUAGGGGGCAAGCGUUAUCCGGAUUUACUGGGUGUAAAGGGAGCGUAGGCGGCAGAGCAAGUCUGGAGUGAAAUCCCAUGGCUUAACCAUGGAACUGCUUUGGAGACUGUGCAGCUGGAGUGCAGGAGAGGUAGGCGGAAUUCCUGGUGUAGCGGUGAAAUGCGUAGAUAUUAGGAGGAACACCGGUGGCGAAGGCAGCUUACUGGACUAUAACUGACGUUGAGGCUCGAAAGCGUGGGGAGCAAACAGGAUUAGAUACCCUUGUAGUC